AUGCAAGUCGAGGGGCAGCAUGAUUUGCAUCAAUACAGAUUGAUGGCGACCGGCGCACGGGUGAGUAACGCGUAUGCAACUUACCUAUCAGAGGGGGAUAGCCCGGCGAAAGUCGGAUUAAUACCCCAUAAAACAGGGGUCCCGCAUGGGAAUAUUUAUUAAAGAUUCAUCGCUGAUAGAUAGGCAUGCGUUCCAUUAGGCAGUUGGCGGGGUAACGGCCCACCAAACCGACGAUGGAUAGGGGUUCUGAGAGGAAGGUCCCCCACAUUGGUACUGAGACACGGACCAAACUCCUACGGGAGGCAGCAGUGAGGAAUAUUGGUCAAUGGCCGAGAGGCUGAACCAGCCAAGUCGCGUGAAGGAAGAAGGAUCUAUGGUUUGUAAACUUCUUUUAUAGGGGAAUAAGGUGGAGGACGUGUCCUUUUUUGUAUGUACCCUAUGAAUAAGCAUCGGCUAACUCCGUGCCAGCAGCCGCGGUAAUACGGAGGAUGCGAGCGUUAUCCGGAUUUAUUGGGUUUAAAGGGUGCGUAGGUGGUGAUUUAAGUCAGCGGUGAAAGUUUGUGGCUCAACCAUAAAAUUGCCGUUGAAACUGGGUUACUUGAGUGUGUUUGAGGUAGGCGGAAUGCGUGGUGUAGCGGUGAAAUGCAUAGAUAUCACGCAGAACUCCGAUUGCGAAGGCAGCUUACUAAACCAUAACUGACACUGAAGCACAAAAGCGUGGGGAUCAAACAGGAUUAGAUACCCUGGUAGUCCACGCAGUAAACGAUGAUUACUAGGAGUUUGCGAUACAAUGUAAGCUCUACAGCGAAAGCGUUAAGUAAUCCACCUGGGGAGUACGCCGGCAACGGUGAAACUCAAAGGAAUUGACGGGGGCCCGCACAAGCGGAGGAACAUGUGGUUUAAUUCGAUGAUACGCGAGGAACCUUACCCGGGUUUGAACGUAGUCUGACCGGAGUGGAAACACUCUUUCUAGCAAUAGCAGAUUACGAGGUGCUGCAUGGUUGUCGUCAGCUCGUGCCGUGAGGUGUCGGCUUAAGUGCCAUAACGAGCGCAACCCUUAUCACUAGUUACUAACAGGUGAAGCUGAGGACUCUGGUGAGACUGCCAGCGUAAGCUGUGAGGAAGGUGGGGAUGACGUCAAAUCAGCACGGCCCUUACAUCCGGGGCGACACACGUGUUACAAUGGCAUGGACAAAGGGCAGCUACCUGGUGACAGGAUGCUAAUCUCCAAACCAUGUCUCAGUUCGGAUCGGAGUCUGCAACUCGACUCCGUGAAGCUGGAUUCGCUAGUAAUCGCGCAUCAGCCAUGGCGCGGUGAAUACGUUCCCGGGCCUUGUACACACCGCCCGUCAAGCCAUGGGAGCCGGGGGUACCUGAAGUCCGUAACCGCAAGGAUCGGCCUAGGGUAAAACUGGUGACUGGGGCUAAGUC
This 1431-nucleotide ribosomal RNA is filed under the name uncultured organism. RNAcentral describes it as "16S ribosomal RNA". It matches the Rfam family "Bacterial small subunit ribosomal RNA". The record is from RNAcentral.